AUUGAACGCUGGCAGUAGGCUUAACACAUGCAAGUCGAGCGGUAACAGAGAUAGCUUGCUAUCUGCUGACGAGCGGCGGACGGGUGAGUAACGCGUAGGAAACUGCCUAGUAGAGGGGGAUAGCCCAGAGAAAUUUGGAUUAAUACCGCAUACGCCCUACGGGGGAAAGGGGGAAAGGGGGCUUCGGCUCUCGCUAUUAGAUGUGCCUGCGUAAGAUUAGCUAGUUGGUGAGGUAAUGGCUCACCAAGGCGACGAUCUUUAGCUGGUCUGAGAGGAUGAUCAGCCACACUGGAACUGAGACACGGUCCAGACUCCUACGGGAGGCAGCAGUGGGGAAUAUUGCACAAUGGGCGCAAGCCUGAUGCAGCCAUACCGCGUGUGUGAAGAAGGCUUUCGGGUUGUAAAGCACUUUCAGUGGGGAGGAAGGCGUUGUCAUUAAUACCGGCAACGAUUGACGUUACCCGCAGAAGAAGCACCGGCUAACUCCGUGCCAGCAGCCGCGGUAAUACGGAGGGUGCAAGCGUUAAUCGGAAUUACUGGGCGUAAAGCGCGCGUAGGCGGCUUGUUAAGCCAGAUGUGAAAGCCCCGGGCUCAACCUGGGAACUGCAUUUGGAACUGGCAAGCUAGAGUACAGUAGAGGGUGGUGGAAUUUCAGGUGUAGCGGUGAAAUGCGUAGAGAUCUGAAGGAAUACCAGUGGCGAAGGCGGCCCCCUGGAUUGAUACUGACACUGAGGUGCGAAAAGCGGGGGAGCAAACAGGAUUAGAUACCCUGGUAGUCCACGCCGUAAACGAUGUCAACUAGCCGUUGGAAGACUUGAUCUUUUAGUGGCGCAGCUAACGCAAUAAGUAGACCGCCUGGGGAGUACGGUCGCAAGAUUAAAACUCAAAUGAAUUGACGGGGGCCCGCACAAGCGGUGGAGCAUGUGGUUUAAUUCGAUGCAACGCGAAGAACCUUACCAGGUCUUGACAUCCUGCGAACUUACUAGAGAUAGUUUGGUGCCUUCGGGAACGCAGUGACAGGUGCUGCAUGGCUGUCGUCAGCUCGUGUUGUGAAAUGUUGGGUUAAGUCCCGUAACGAGCGCAACCCUUGUCCUUAUUUGCCAGCACGUAAUGGUGGGAAUCUAAGGAGACUGCCGGUGACAAACCGGAGGAAGGUGGGGACGACGUCAAGUCAUCAUGGCCCUUACGAGUAGGGCUACACACGUGCUACAAUGGCCGGUACAGAGGGCUGCAAAGCGGCGACGUGGAGCUAAUCUCAGAAAACCGGUCGUAGUCCGGAUCGGAGUCUGCAACUCGACUCCGUGAAGUCGGAAUCGCUAGUAAUCGCGAAUCAGAAUGUCGCGGUGAAUACGUUCCCGGGCCUUGUACACACCGCCCGUCACACCAUGGGAGUGGGUUGCACCAGAAGUAGCUAGACUAACCUUCGGGGGGUCGGUUACCACGGUGUGAUUCAUGACUGGGGUGAAG
Molecule: ribosomal RNA, 1467 nt
Filed under: uncultured prokaryote
Description: partial 16S ribosomal RNA
Rfam family: Bacterial small subunit ribosomal RNA
Source: RNAcentral